AACCUCCGCAAUGUGAGAAAUCGCGACGGGGGGAUCCCAAGUGCCAUUCUUAACGGGAUGGCUUUUCAUUAGUGUAAAGAGCUUUUGGAAUAAGAGCUGGGCAAGACCGGUGCCAGCCGCCGCGGUAACACCGGCAGCUCUAGUGGUAGCAUUUUUAUUGGGCCUAAAGCGUCCGUAGCCGGUUUAAUAAGUCUCUGGUGAAAUCCUGUAGCUUAACUGUGGGAAUUGCUGGAGAUACUAUUAGACUUGAGACCGGGAGAGGUUAGAGGUACUCCCAGGGUAGAGGUGAAAUUCUGUAAUCCUGGGAGGACCGCCUGUUGCGAAGGCGUCUAACUGGAACGGUUCUGACGGUGAGGGACGAAAGUUAGGGGCGCGAACCGGAUUAGAUACCCGGGUAGUCCUAACCGUAAACGAUGCGGACUUGGUGUUGGGUGGCUUUGAGCUGCUCCAGUGCCGAAGGGAAGCUGUUAAGUCCGCCGCCUGGGAAGUACGGUCGCAAGACUGAACUUAAAGGAAUU
This 518-nucleotide ribosomal RNA is filed under the name uncultured bacterium. Its description in RNAcentral is "bacterial SSU rRNA". It matches the Rfam family "Archaeal small subunit ribosomal RNA", at positions 345 to 866 of the family's 1478-position model. The record is from RNAcentral.